Molecule: ribosomal RNA, 253 nt
Filed under: uncultured bacterium
Lineage: Bacteria
Description: partial 16S ribosomal RNA
Rfam family: Bacterial small subunit ribosomal RNA
Source: RNAcentral
UACGAGGGGGGCAAGCGUUGUUCGGAAUUACUGGGCGUAAAGCGUGCGUAGGUGGUUCGUUAAGUCUGAUGUGAAAGCCCUGGGCUCAACCUGGGAAUGGCAUUGGAUACUGGCGAUCUAGAGUGCGGUAGAGGGCAGUGGAAUUCCCGGUGUAGCAGUGAAAUGCGUAGAGAUCGGGAGGAACAUCUGUGGCGAAGGCGACUGCCUGGACCAGCACUGACACUGAGGCACGAAAGCGUGGGGAGCAAACAGG